CAUUUUUUAUAUAAAUCUUGACGAUUAUGGCUUACAGCUCAUGGAAAUAAAAAAUCCAGUAUCUCAAAAUAUUACAAUAAAGAAUUUAUAAUACAGCAAUGUCGACCUGCUUAACUUAACCACUGGUGUCUUCAGUGCCCAAAUGCUUAAGUGUUAUUAAUAGAUAUAAUAUAUCUAUAUAUCUUAUAUAUUUAUAAUAUAAAAGUGAUGUUACACAGUGGUAAACAGUCAACUGUCCCAACAUUUUGGAGUGUGUUGCAGUCCAUAAACAUGGUUACAUAAAAACCACGACUUGGUGGCGCUCAAGCACAAAACUGUCUUGCGGGGCACACAUAGAUACCUGAAGAUGAAGAAGACAAAGAAAUGCAAGCAUAUAUUCUAAGUGAUCCAUUUCAGUGUUGCUUUCUAUACUAAAUAACAUUAUUUGUUUCUUUGUCUCUUCCUGCAAAUGUUUCACAUCUAUAGUAAUAGCUCAAUAGUAAUCUGCUGCUUGAUAGACCAUUGUCUUUAUUUUCCACCUGGCAUAUAUCUGCAUGUAAGUAUUCUUGUCCUCUUAUUCAAAUAGCUAGGUGCCCCAUUAUUGUGUCCCUGUAUUUGCCACAAAAAGGCUGUUCAUAGUCAACACUUCAUCAAUCUGCAGGAACAUUAACAUUUUUGGGCACAACAAUAGUUGCCUUAUACCCACCCACCCCCUCCCCCCAAAAAAAUCUGAUUUAAAAAAUACAAUAAUUUGAGUAUUCCCAUAAGUAUGUGAAUGCUAUUUCUGUGACUUUGAUAUAAUUGAAAUCAUUACUUAUUUAAAAAGAGUAUAUUGUUUAAAACUUUAGCUUUAGGAUUUAGCUUUAAAGAAGUAUUUGUUACAGUGGCCAAAUCACCAAAUACCUUACAUUUUGCAAAAGUGCAUAUGUGCGUUAACUUUGAUAGAACAUGUUAUCAAAAAUAUUAUAUAUCAGUUGCUGUCGUGAGUGCUGGUGCUUAUAUAUUAUGUAUUUAAUUGAUGAAAUAAAACCAAACACUUGGCGGCCAUAGAUAUGAUUCAGUUUUAUUCAAGUUCACAGAGAAAUUGUAAGUAAAGAGAAAAAAUACAUACAAUAAGCUGUUUUCAAAAUGGUAAAAUGAUGUAUGUCACACAAAUUAACAGUAUUGCUUCAUUAGUUCUCCAGACCAUGGUUCACAUACUGCCAAGCAACUUCUCCUGCUGAUUUGAGCAACUGCAUUAGAAAUGAAGGUCACUGUAUGUGAAAUAUCUAUUGCAUCUACACCUGAGUGCACAUUCUACCUCAAGUUAGAAUGGGCCAAAGACCUGGGAGCUGGUUUUGUUGUUAUGCUCUGUGAUGGUGCCUCUGCUUGGAGUGGUGAAGUAUCAGAGGAGGAUGUCAGCAAGGAGGCCCAGGAGUUGGAGAUGCCAAGAGAGAGGUAUGUUCAUGACCUGCAGCUGAUUCUGUCUGGUGAGGGACAAGCAGACCAGAGCUACAGCUUUCAUCUGGCACCUAAGCAAUCCGGAAGCCCGAUUUUACAGCUAUCUUAUGAGAAAGUGCAGCGUGACAUGUCGUUCAGGUAUGGAAUGGUGGAACUGCUACCUGUGUCAGAGCCCACUAAAGUCAUAAAGGAACUCAUUAGUUAUGGCUUAGAGCGCAGUGCUCACCUGCAAGCCAAGAAACACAUCGUGCUCAAGCAGAACCAGAGACUGAUUAAUGAACAGGAACACAUCACUACAGAAAUGGAGAGAUAUAUCAAAGAAAAGGAGACAUUGGAGCGCGAGCUGUACAACCGCUUUGUGCUGGUCCUUAAUGAGAAGAAGGCCAAGAUCCGCACUUUACAGGAGAGGAUCAAACAGCUACAGAAUACUAUACAAGACAAAAAGGAUGGAUGGAAGAAAGGUGAAGCCUGUCAUGGAGGAAAUGAACAUACAGAUGAGAAACUUGAAAAUAGUGACUAUGGAAACACCACAGAUGAGGAAGAGGAAGAGGAUGGGGAUCCAAAAACUCGGAAUCUGAAACCCAGCAAUAAAGUGCUGGCAAGCAACCCAAUGGAUGGCAGUCUAAAUGACAUUGCGGAUGUGGCACCAAGCAGAAAACGGCGUCGGCAUGUUAUUCAACCCUUGGAAACCCCAUCAAAAGGACCAGCUCUGGAGCAGAGACAGACCUUAAGACACCUUUGAUGGAAAACAGACCCCCUCCCAAAACCAACAGCAAAUGAAGCAAAUAGUUCAAGAGAAAAAAAAUGGCAAGUGUUGUGUUUGAACAAGUUUCAAACACUGUACGCCAAGAGAGUGAAAAUGUGGUGGAGGACUUGACACCUGAGCAAGUGAUGUGGAAUACCGAGAUUGAAGCCCUGAGGAGGAAGCUCUGUGUCUACAAUGAGGCAUAUGCAAUCGCAAAAGCAGCUCUUGCAUAUUUAAAAAUGACACAUAUCGGGCUCGUCCAGUCCCCCACAGUUGUUGUGAGGUAUAAGACGGGUGCACAAAGUAACUCAACUGUGCCCGGCUCCCAACAUCACGCUGUCAAACUGAGGUCACUGCUAGCCUGAGUAGAGAUUCAGAAAAUAGGCAAACACCAUCUUCUGUCGUCAACACAGGUCACACCGAUAACACCAGCUGGAAGUUGCCAUCCCAAACUCCAAUUUUCUUGUCCCUCACCAGAGCAGCUAGAGAUCCUAAUGAUUUAUUCGGGUAUGGCCGGAUCGAUAUGGUUGCUUGCUAUUCCGUGCCAUUUUACCAGAACAGAGGUAUAAAGAGUAGGCAUCGACCAUCAACUGUGAUAGUCAGAGAGGCAAAUCUGCAUUGCCCAUGAACCUAAGGCACUUUAUCUUGAAGACUGUUUCCCAGAGAUUCCCCUACUUGACCAACGUUGACAAAAAGUGCACCAAAAAGAGUCAACAAGUUCUUAUACUCCCCAAGGAAUGCUGUUGUCCACAGAUGCCUGCAUUUUUAACCAACAUUCACAAUAUUUUUACUUUGGAAAAAGACAGUUUGAUUUAAUGUUGCUAUUUUUUCUUUGUAUGAAUAAAUUUAAUUAAACCUAAUUAUGUCUUUCUUUCCUUAAGACACUUAAGGAAUAAACAGAGUUCAUUGUCCAAGA
RNA transcript from Ictalurus punctatus (channel catfish), 3080 nucleotides. It is a transcript of the gene named X-ray repair complementing defective repair in Chinese hamster cells 4, with no coding region annotated. Lineage: Eukaryota; Metazoa; Chordata; Actinopteri; Siluriformes; Ictaluridae. The transcript has 9 exons. The record is from RefSeq and is a predicted model, not a curated record.